Long non-coding RNA from Myripristis murdjan (pinecone soldierfish), 393 nucleotides. RefSeq lists it as uncharacterized. The transcript is spliced from 2 exons. The record is from RefSeq and is a predicted model, not a curated record. NCBI's taxonomy places the organism in Eukaryota, Metazoa, Chordata, Actinopteri, Holocentriformes, Holocentridae.
UCUGUGUUAAUUGAUGGAGACUGGUUUGUGUGCUGCAAGAACAAUCAGACAACAGAGCAGAUAGAACUAGCCUGCAAAGCCAAGGACAACAUCACAUCUCAUGACCAAGAUAUUAUCACUGAGCUCAAAGGCAAAUCACUGGUGUGGGGUGUAUCUGUCAUCUUAGUUAUCUGCGGUUUGGGGGCUUUUGGUAGAGGCAUUUACUCCUGUCUGUCAUCAUGCAGUGAAUGUUCUCAAAAACUGAAGAACUGCUGCAGUGGAUGCUGUCACACACAUCAUGAGGUUAAUGAGCUGAUUCUGGAGGAGUGGGAAAAUCAACUGAGGGACCGUGUGAAAGAAGCAACAGGCAGGACGCUGACCAACAAACUCAGAGAGGACUGGGAAGAAGAAGGG